Molecule: ribosomal RNA, 253 nt
Filed under: uncultured bacterium
Lineage: Bacteria
Description: partial 16S ribosomal RNA
Rfam family: Bacterial small subunit ribosomal RNA
Source: RNAcentral
UACGUAGGGUGCAAGCGUUGUCCGGAAUUAUUGGGCGUAAAGAGCUCGUAGGCGGUUUGUCACGUCUGCUGUGAAAACGCGAGGCUCAACCUCGCGCCUGCAGUGGGUACGGGCAGACUAGAGUGUGGUAGGGGAGACUGGAAUUCCUGGUGUAGCGGUGGAAUGCGCAGAUAUCAGGAGGAACACCGAUGGCGAAGGCAGGUCUCUGGGCCACUACUGACGCUGAGGAGCGAAAGCAUGGGGAGCGAACAGG